GCGGAAGAUCGGGCAGUCGCUGUACUCAUUAUGAUUGCAGAGGAAAGUCCGGGCACCAUAGGACAGGAUACCUUGUGCUGAGCAGGGGGCCCGUAAGGGUACGGAGCAGUGCCACAGAGAAAAGACCGCUCUUUUCCGGUUUAAUCCGGAAAGGGGUGAGAUGUGAAAAGGCGAGGUAAGAGCUCACCGUCCCGUCAGAUGGCGGGAGCUGGUAAACCCUAUCCGGUGCAAGACCAAGUAGAAGGGAUUUACUGCAGCAAUGCAGUUGGAAGUGGUCCGCUUCUUUUCCCUCGGGUAGGUCGCUCAAUGUCCCGGUUCACUCCGGGGCCAGAUAAAUGACUGCCUCUUCUAUUUUAUAGAAAAGACAGAACCCGGCUUACAGUUCUUCCGCCCAC
Molecule: RNase P RNA, 395 nt
Filed under: Fibrobacter sp.
Lineage: Bacteria; Pseudomonadati; Fibrobacterota; Fibrobacteria; Fibrobacterales; Fibrobacteraceae
Description: RNase P RNA component class A
Rfam family: Bacterial RNase P class A
About the family: Ribonuclease P (RNase P) is a ubiquitous endoribonuclease, found in archaea, bacteria and eukarya as well as chloroplasts and mitochondria. Its best characterised activity is the generation of mature 5'-ends of tRNAs by cleaving the 5'-leader elements of precursor-tRNAs. Cellular RNase Ps are ribonucleoproteins.
Source: RNAcentral